CCUUUGGAGAGUUAUAUCAAACUGAAGUAGCGUUUAGCAAAACAGGACUCGAUGAACAAGGAA
RNAcentral lists this non-coding RNA (63 nucleotides) under unclassified sequences. Its description in RNAcentral is "RAGATH-18 RNA". It matches the Rfam family "RAGATH-18 RNA". From Rfam's summary of the family: Actinobacteria, Firmicutes, Fusobacteria, Thermotogae (1 example). Nearby to self-cleaving ribozyme genes The record is from Rfam by way of RNAcentral.